UUGCGGUGAAGAAUUUAGCGUUGCCUGUGAUCAGGGUCGAUCACUAUCGUCCGAUCUUCUGGCGAAACUAUCAGCGCAUCCGAGCUU
Molecule: non-coding RNA, 87 nt
Organism: Cucurbita pepo subsp. pepo (vegetable marrow)
Lineage: Eukaryota; Viridiplantae; Streptophyta; Magnoliopsida; Cucurbitales; Cucurbitaceae
Source: RefSeq, a predicted model, not a curated record